AUUGAACGCUGGCGGCAGGCCUAACACAUGCAAGUCGGGCGGGCGGCGGACGGGUGAGUAAUGUAUUGGGAUCUUCCUUAUUGCGGGGGGUAACUUCUGGAAACGGUAGCUAAUACCCCAUACCAUCAGAUGAACCCAUAUUGGAUUAGCUAGUAGGUAAGGGAACGGCUUACCUAGGCGACGAUCCCUAGCUGGUCUGAGAGGAUGAUCAGCCACACUGGGACGGAGACACGGCCCAGACUCCUACGGGAGGCAGCAGUGGGGAAUAUUGCACAAUGGGCGCAAGCCUGAUGCAGCCAUGCCGCGUGUAUGAAGAAGGCCUUCGGGUUGUAAAGUACUUUCAGUCGGGAGGCGUUACCGACAGAAGAAGCACCGGCUAACUCCGUGCCAGCAGCCGCGGUAAUAC
This 406-nucleotide ribosomal RNA is filed under the name uncultured bacterium. Its description in RNAcentral is "partial 16S ribosomal RNA". It matches the Rfam family "Bacterial small subunit ribosomal RNA", at positions 30 to 526 of the family's 1533-position model. The record is from RNAcentral.